UGCAGCGACGCCGCGUGAGGGAUGACGGCCUUCGGGUUGUAAACCUCUUUCAGCAGGGACGAAGCGUAAGUGACGGUACCUGCAGAAGAAGCACCGGCCAACUACGUGCCAGCAGCCGCGGUAAGACGUAGGGUGCGAGCGUUGUCCGGAUUUAUUGGGCGUAAAGAGCUCGUAGGCGGCUUGUCGCGUCGACCGUGAAAACUUGGGGCUCAACCCCAAGCCUGCGGUCGAUACGGGCAGGCUAGAGUUCGGUAGGGGAGACUGGAAUUCCUGGUGUAGCGGUGAAAUGCGCAGAUAUCAAGAGGAACACCGGUGGCGAAGGCGGGUCUCUGGGCCGAUACUGACGCUGAGGAGCGAAAGCGUGGGGAGCGAACAGGAUUAGAUACCCUGGUAGUCCACGCUGUAAACGUUGGGCGCUAGGUGUGGGGGGCCCCUCCGGUUCUCUGUGCCGCAGCUAACGCAUUAAGCGCCCCGCCUGGGGAGUACGGCCGCAAGGCUAAAACUCAAAGGAAUUGACGGGGGCCCGCACAAGCGGCGGAGCAUGCGGAUUAAUUCGAUGCAACGCGAAGAACCUUACCUGGGUUUGACAUGGCCGCAAAACUUGCAGAGAUGUAAGGUCCUUC
RNAcentral lists this ribosomal RNA (623 nucleotides) under Micromonospora sp. Ri3Ps_5454. Its description in RNAcentral is "bacterial SSU rRNA". It matches the Rfam family "Bacterial small subunit ribosomal RNA", at positions 387 to 1019 of the family's 1533-position model. Lineage: Bacteria; Bacillati; Actinomycetota; Actinomycetes; Micromonosporales; Micromonosporaceae. The record is from RNAcentral.